UGGGGAAUAUUGGACAAUGGGCGCCCNUNCUGAUCCAGCCAUACCGCGUGGGUGAAGAAGGCCUUCGGGUUGUAAAGCCCUUUUGUUGGGAAAGAAAUCCAGCCGGCUAAUACCUGGUUGGGAUGACGGUACCCAAAGAAUAAGCACCGGCUAACUUCGUGCCAGCAGCCGCGGUAAUACGAAGGGUGCAAGCGUUACUCGGAAUUACUGGGCGUAAAGCGUGCGUAGGUGGUCGUUUAAGUCCGUUGUGAAAGCCCUGGGCUCAACCUGGGAACUGCAGUGGAUACUGGGCGACUAGAGUGUGGUAGAGGGUAGCGGAAUUCCUGGUGUAGCAGUGAAAUGCGUAGAGAUCAGGAGGAACAUCCAUGGCGAAGGCAGCUACCUGGACCAACACUGACACUGAGGCACGAAAGCGUGGGGAGCAAACAGGAUUAGAUACCCUGGUAGUCCACGCCCUAAACGAUGCGAACUGGAUGUUGGGUGCAAUUUGGCACGCAGUAUCGAAGCUAACGCGUUAAGUUCGCCGCCUGGGGAGUACGGUCGCAAGACUG
This 551-nucleotide ribosomal RNA is filed under the name uncultured bacterium. RNAcentral describes it as "bacterial SSU rRNA". It matches the Rfam family "Bacterial small subunit ribosomal RNA", at positions 355 to 896 of the family's 1533-position model. The record is from RNAcentral.